Molecule: long non-coding RNA, 2513 nt
Organism: Myxocyprinus asiaticus (Chinese sucker)
Lineage: Eukaryota; Metazoa; Chordata; Actinopteri; Cypriniformes; Catostomidae
Exons: 4
Source: RefSeq, a predicted model, not a curated record
UACAUUUAAUAUGAAUAUUUUUUUCCGAAAAAUGGCAAAGAUCUGUACAAAAGCAGUCCAGAGGGCGAUGCGCUGCAUCCAAUGUGCUCCCUGAUGGCAUACAAUAGUAUUGUGUGAGGUGGAGAGUAGAAUUUAAAUGAUUAAUCACUGUAAACCUUCUCCUGAUGCACUCUGUAACAAUGCUGUCAUAUCUCAUUCAAACUUAUACAUUACAGAAAACGGCAUGUCGCAAACAGUCACAAGACACUUGAGAGCCAAUGAGCAUUCGACAUCACUGCUGUAAAACCACUGGUCUAGAUGUUUUUUGAGGUGGCAAUUUUUGAUUUUAAAAACGAAACCAACAUGGGUUGAUGGUUACAGUGGAUGGAGAUGGAGAUCGUUGAAUAAAAGACUAGAAUUUGGGUCUGUUCUUCACAAUGUAAUGAUGGCUGGCAGUAACAAUGACAGGUAGACGAAGACAAGAUGAUGUGAAGAACCCAAGUGCAGUUUAAUACAAACGUUUAAUCCAAACGUGAACAAAACAUAAACAUGAACUUGUCUAAUAAAUGUCGAAACUUGACAUGGCUUGAUAUGACUUCACUUGACUUGACAUGAAAUGACGUUACACCAACAAUGUUACAUUAACACAAUACCUGACAAGAGACAAUGGCAAACAUGAGGGCUAAAUACUUGGACUUGGGAGAACACAUGACAAUGAUAACCAAUGAACACACAGAACUCUAAACAAGAUAACGAGACUGCAAACAAGCUAAUGAAACAAUGAACCAAUGGGGACAAGACACAAGAACAUGGGAAACACGUGACAAGAUCACAUGACAAUGAAACAGGAACAAACAUGGCAUGGAACAAUUUUACCAAAAUAAAUGACAUGACCAAAAACACAUAAUACCAUGACACACAGAAAGCAGUCUGAAGAUUUGGAGUAUAGCUAACACAUUUGUGGAUUAAUGUUAUUAUUGUUUUAUGAUUUAUGAUUUAUGUUUUAUUUUUUGUGGUUUAUUUUGCUUUUUGGCAUAUUCUGAAAACUCAUUUUGUGUCCCAUGGCAAACAAAAAUAAAAUAAAAUGCUUAAUAAGUGAUUAAACGAUUACAGAGUUUUUGUACAUUUUAACAUUUUAAAGUCUAGUCUUGGUUAAAGUGAUGUAAUCCUUUAAAACGUUGUAUAGGGCAGCAGAAAUCACACAGAACUGAAUAAAACUAUUAAAAUGUCACAUUAUAUUAUCAACUGUGUUAAAUAAAUGUGAUGGCAAUUAACUGAUUAUAAAUGCAAAGAAAUGAACUGAUUAAUUCCAUGAAUUCAAUAUUAAUCAAUUCAAACAGUACACGUAAACAUUUGUAUGUUUCUAAAGGUGUUAAUGCCUAAAUUGAUGAUAUUUUAGAUGCUGUCAAUAUUGUACGUUUCGGUAUCUAUGCAAACGUAAGAUAAUGUACGUUUGCUAGAACCAAACUUUACGUAAAAAUACAAAUGUUCUUAUAUCACGUUGGAAUGUUAAUUGUUCUGUUUAUUUACUAUAAUAAAGACUAUAUUAGGCCUACAUGAUGUAUAUUCAUUUAUGAAUGGUAUAAUAUGUAUGAUAAAUUGUGUAAUUUUUAAGCAUUAGAUGUCACUCAUUAACAAAUGGAGUGCAGGACUUGGAACCUCUUUUCACAAAUGUUUCUUAAUUAUCCACUUUAAAUUAAUGUUCACUUUCAUGGGUUACUAAUGUUGAAAACUCAUUAAUAAGUGGUUCACAGUUGUUCACUUUACAUUAAGGUACAUUUUCAUAUGUUAUUAAUGCCAGUAACUCAUUAAUAAAUGGUUCACAGUUGUUCACUUUACAUUAAGGUACAUUUUCAUAUGUUAUUAAUGCCAGUAACUCAUUAAUAAAUGGUUCACAGGUGUUCACUUUACAUUAAGGUACAUUUUCAUAUGUUAUUAAUGCCAGUAACUCAUUAAUAAAUGGUUCACAGGUGUUCACUUUACAUUAAGGUACAUUUUCAUAUGUUAUUAAUGCCAGUAACUCAUUAAUAAAUGGUUCACAGGUGUUCACUUUACAUUAAGGUACAUUUUCAUAUGUUAUUAAUGCCAGUAACUCAUUAAUAAAUGGUUCACAGGUGUUCACUUUACAUUAAGGUACAUUUUCAUAUGUUAUUAAUGCCAGUAACUCAUUAAUAAAUGGUUCACAGGUGUUGAAAGUGCAUGAAAGUCACCCUUUUUAUUCAUGUUGUUAUAACUGCAUAUAAAUGAUUUACAAUGCAUUCAUAGAUGAUUUAUUAGUCAUUAAUGAACCACUUUAUAAACCCUUUACAAAGAGAACCUUAUUGUAAAGUGUAACCCGUUUAUCCAUAUUCAUGAUAUGAUCUGAAGAGUGUGUGAACAGCAGUGAAACACUUUUUUAUGAUGUGUUACAUUUAUAUGAGUAGACAGUGGGCACUUUCACACUGUUAUGAGUGAAAAGGUGGAUAUGACAUUGAGGAACUUUCCAUGGGGAGCUUAAUAGAGAUGGCCGUUCAAUUAAUAAGUGAUCAUCCCAA